RNAcentral lists this long non-coding RNA (2446 nucleotides) under Anas platyrhynchos platyrhynchos (common mallard). Its description in RNAcentral is "lncRNA (ENSAPLG00000023300.1)". The record is from RNAcentral. Lineage: Eukaryota; Metazoa; Chordata; Aves; Anseriformes; Anatidae.
GGCAGAGAGUGAUGGGCGCCGUCAUUUGAAAGAAAACAUUUGCAGUCGCUGCUAAAAGUGUUCUGGUUUCAGAUCCCGUAAUGAAUAGUUCAGUCAAAAGAACAGUCCUUAAUACGUUUCAGCCCGGUAGAGUAAACUGUGGAAACUGAAAAAAAAUAAAAAAAUAAAAUUGCAGCUCUGAACCUCAGCUGCAGCAAGAGCUCAGCAUUGUGUGUGCAGCCCAUAUGCUGCUGCCAGCCGGCUUCUGCAUCAGGAAUCCAGGAGAGCAUCGCUUUGGAGGCUUGCAGGCUGGCUGCAAUAAUAAUAAUAUGGCUUUAUUGCUGUUGUUUCAGGGCAUCGAGAUCAUCUUCCACCCCCUCUUUGCUGUCUCCGAGCUCCUCCCCAGGUUCCUGGGCUGGCAGCCCCGGCUUUCAUCUCAAACUGCAGCUGCUUCACCAUUUCAGGGGAAUUAUGCUGGGCCCUGCAGCAGAGGGCAGCAAAGGAGCAUAGCCCAUGGCUCCCGGCUGGCACCGAUGGUUUCCUGUCCUGCAGUUCACCGCUUUGUUUUCGCCUCCCCAUGAAACAGCAUUCGAGUAACCGAGAGGUUCUGCUGUGGCCAUUCUCCUGAGUCCCUCACAGGAGCCACCAGGUCGCUUUCUCCAUCGUGCCCUCCAUUUGAGGCUCUUGGUGGGUAGGAUAAGACAGGAAGAUGAAGGCUGGUUUGAGAGAUGUCUGGAAAAAGGCAGCACACAGUUGAGGUUUCCAGUCUAACGGGAGGAGUGUGUGACCAGCAUGUCAUCCCCCUACACAGUCCACACUGUUAGUCUGAGAUUCGCAGCCAAAUCAACAGAAUUGCAGUGACUUCAGUGUUUGGGUAGUGCUGGGCCACAGUUAUGCUACGUGAUAGGUGCAUCUUUGAUCUGAACAGUGCAAGCACUAAGCCUUUGCUUUGGCUCUUUCAAAUAAGCUGGCCUCCACCUAUGAGAGAUUACAAGCAAUUUUAGACCACAAAUAUCGUAAACAAUUCAGAAGUUUUGGAAACAUUCAUGUCUUGGCAAUGAAAGAAAUGAGAAGUUACUGGGAAACACAAGGAAAAGAUAAAAGGAUAUCAACGUUAUCACUGCUUACACUACAGAAUUUGAAAAUAUUUUACUUUUGUCUCAUGAAAAUUUUCUUCCCCCCACACUGAGAACUUGUAUUUCAGAGGAUAUUAAACAGAACUUUGACAUCAUCUCAGCGUCUUUCUUUAAAUAGGUUAAGAACAAUCAGCAUAAGGAAGAAGAAGCUUGCUCUCUCUCUUUCCCUGUAAGCUAGCCACGUGAGGACCACCAUGCAGAUAGCCCAUGCUCUCACCCUCUUAAUUAACUGUCUCAUUUUCUGCUCAUUUUUUCAUCCUUAAAUUUUGCCAAGUGUUUUCCCACCACUAGAUAAAAUUAUGAAACCUUCUCCAAUAUAACUUAUUUUUCUAUUUUCUGUCUUUCUGUAUUUUUUUUUUAAUUUGUUCUGUUUUGUUAUUUGUUUCUGAUAUAAGUAGUUUCUGAGAAGUGGCUGUGGCUUCUUAUGCGUGAGGACAGCUGUACUUGCUUAGAGUGAAGGUCCAUCCUAGUCAGGGCUCCAUUUCUGGUAGCGUUCAGUUGCAAGACUUCUUUCUCAUGUUCUCCUUUGUGCUCUUUCAACAUUUUUUUAAAUGGAAAUUUUAGCAAUUUCCAUCUCUCUGCUCUCUUCAUAUCUGAUGAGAUUCUUUUUCUGCUCUAUCAGGCCUAGGUGUUCCAGGCAAUCCUUUGCCCGCCACUGCAAAAAAAAAGUAAUCGCACCUCUCUCUGCUAAUCACAGUAAUGCAUGAUUCAUAACAACAAUAGCAUUACAAGGAGAAAUCAGUCUUGAGAGAGCAGGCUGGAAGUGGGAUCCUUGAAAUCCUUUCAAAAUGUUCAACAGUCUGUAAGGCAAGGCGAAAUGCCUGCCUGCUGUGCAAGUAGGCAAGGGGCAAACAUGUCAGAUGCUCGUCCCUCUUCUUGAUAACUCUGGCUUUCUUUCAGUGCCCUUUCUUUAAGGUAUGAAUCUCUCAUCCACAGUACAAAGCUCUUUUUAAGAGUCAACUGUACAGAAAUAGCUUCUGUCGGUGCUGAAUUGCACAGAUAUCUAAGGCAGAACCUGACCACUAUUUAAUACUUUUCAGCAGAGCCUAACAAUCAUAUAAAGUGUAGGAAGUUUCAAAUAAGCAAAAUGAAUAGCUCCACCCAUCCUGGCAUUUUCUUUUGCAGAAAAUCCCUCAAGAACAGCAAACUAUCAGGAGGCUGAUUUACAUUGUUGAAAAAUACACUUUCAUCUGCCUUUUGCACUUUUACUCUGUAAUGGGGUAUCAGUUUAAUUUUCCUGAGAGGGGCUACUGUUUAAUGAACUAGCAUCCGUUUUUCCUGUUGUGCAUGGGAAAUUCCCUGGUAAAAAUAAAAAAAUAAAAAAAAUUACA